This is a long non-coding RNA of Branchiostoma floridae (Florida lancelet), 294 nucleotides long. RefSeq lists it as uncharacterized. Lineage: Eukaryota; Metazoa; Chordata; Leptocardii; Amphioxiformes; Branchiostomatidae. The transcript is spliced from 2 exons. The record is from RefSeq and is a predicted model, not a curated record.
AAAAAAGUGUGGAGGGUGCACACAUGCAGCUACUACGUACGAAUAAUAAAAGAGGCCGUACUCUCUUUCCAAAUUCCACCGAGGAUUUCGGUGCAAACAUCGGAAAACCGCGUGGCAGAAACCUUAUAAAUUGGAAGAGAGGAACGUUAUCAACCGGCGCGGACCGCCAUAAGAACAUAUCAUCUCAUGAGCUCAGGUUGUUCAGUGGUGGAAUGCCAUAAUGGACUGCAUGUAGAAAAUCGUAUCAGUGGCCAUGUGAAACCUAAAAGCAGAGUAAAGAUUCUUGAUGUUUUA